CAUAACUGGACUUACUAGAAAUUGCAAUUUCACUUUUAUGCUACAUGCACUGAGCUGGACAUUUUUUCUGUACAGUGUAUUUAUUACAUACAUACCAAAACAUAGUCAUAAGUGUAGCGUGAGGUUUAAAGGAACAGUCCAAUCACCAUAACCAAUGUAGUUGUAAGUAGGUACACCAUUUAGAAUGAUAUGACAACUUACC
This is a non-coding RNA of Pelobates cultripes (western spadefoot toad), 202 nucleotides long. NCBI's taxonomy places the organism in Eukaryota, Metazoa, Chordata, Amphibia, Anura, Pelobatidae. The record is from the annotation of a GenBank genome assembly.